Molecule: ribosomal RNA, 404 nt
Filed under: uncultured bacterium
Lineage: Bacteria
Also listed under: 1 other name
Description: bacterial SSU rRNA
Rfam family: Bacterial small subunit ribosomal RNA
Source: RNAcentral
UGGGGAAUAUUGGACAAUGGGCGCAAGCCUGAUCCAGCCAUGCCGCGUGAGUGAUGAAGGCCCUAGGGUUGUAAAGCUCUUUCGCAGGUGAAGAUAAUGACGGUAACCUGAGAAGAAGCCCCGGCUAACUUCGUGCCAGCAGCCGCGGUAAUACGAAGGGGGCUAGCGUUGUUCGGAAUUACUGGGCGUAAAGCGCACGUAGGCGGAUACUUAAGUUAGGGGUGAAAUCCCAGGGCUCAACCCUGGAACUGCCUUUAAUACUGGGUAUCUCGAGUCCGAGAGAGGUGAGUGGAAUUCCGAGUGUAGAGGUGAAAUUCGUAGAUAUUCGGAGGAACACCAGUGGCGAAGGCGGCUCACUGGCUCGGUACUGACGCUGAGGUGCGAAAGCGUGGGGAGCAAACAGG